CACACCAUGUCCAUCUAAAAGCUGGAAACUGACACCAGUCUGGUUUUUUUUUUUUUGGUCUUUUUCAGGGCCACACCCAUGGCAUAUGGAGGUUCCCAGGCUAGGGGUCCCAUUGGAUCUGUAGCCACCUGCCUACACCACAGCCACAGCAUCUCAGGAUCUGGGCCACAUCUGCAAACUACACCACAGCUCACAGCAACACCAGGUCCUUAACCCACUGAGCGAGGCCGGGGAUUGAACCUGCGUCCUCAUGGAUGCUAGUCAGGUUUGCUAACUGCUGAGCCAGGACAGGAACGCCACGAACCUGUCAUUUUUACUGGGAUGCGACCCUGCGAUCACGCUGGUCUGAGGUCCAGCCCCGUCCACCCCCACUCAGCUCCUUACUGCAGGGUGUGUCCCUCAGAUCCAGGGGGAGAACCAGGCGGCCCGGAGCGCCCAGUACCGCGGGGUGCUGGGCACCAUUCUCACCAUGGUGCGCAACGAGGGCCCCCGCAGCCUCUACAACGGGCUGGUGGCCGGCCUGCAGCGCCAGAUGAGCUUCGCCUCCAUCCGCAUCGGCCUCUACGACUCCGUCAAGCAGCUCUACACGCCCAAGGGAUCGGACCACUCCAGCAUCACCACCCGGAUUUUGGCGGGCUGCACCACGGGGGCCAUGGCAGUGACCUGCGCCCAGCCCACGGACGUGGUGAAGGUUCGAUUCCAGGCCAGCAUACACGCCGGGCCCGGGAGCAACAGGAAGUACAGCGGGACGAUGGAUGCCUACAGGACCAUCGCCAGGGAGGAAGGGGUCCGGGGCCUGUGGAAAGGGCUGCGAGGAGACAGAAAUGAAGAGAGGCCGCCCUCGUGGCUCUCACAGUGACACAGAGGGGAUGGGACGUGUCCAGGAGCAGCCGUUCCACGGGGCAGGACGUGCUGGGCUCACGUGGAGGCGCAGAGCCAGAGGCGGGAGAGGCUACGGGCUGGGGGAAGCAGCUCAACCGCUGGACCUCAAAGGCCCCGUGGGCUCCCGGUGUGUGGAGAUGGGAGGAAGGGGCGAGCCCAGCAAAGGCCUAAGGGGUGACAGCUGAGCAC
Molecule: long non-coding RNA, 1071 nt
Filed under: Sus scrofa (pig)
Lineage: Eukaryota; Metazoa; Chordata; Mammalia; Artiodactyla; Suidae
Description: lncRNA (ENSSSCG00040029157.1)
Source: RNAcentral